RNAcentral lists this ribosomal RNA (522 nucleotides) under uncultured bacterium. RNAcentral describes it as "bacterial SSU rRNA". It matches the Rfam family "Bacterial small subunit ribosomal RNA", at positions 1 to 523 of the family's 1533-position model. The record is from RNAcentral.
GGGGAGAGUUUGAUCCUGGCUCAGAUUGAACGCUGGCGGCAUGCCUUACACAUGCAAGUCGAACGGUAACAGGUCUUCGGAUGCUGACGAGUGGCGAACGGGUGAGUAAUACAUCGGAACGUGCCCGAUCGUGGGGGAUAACGGAGCGAAAGCUUUGCUAAUACCGCAUACGAUCUACGGAUGAAAGCGGGGGAUCUUCAGACCUCGCGCGGACGGAGCGGCCGAUGGCAGAUUAGGUAGUUGGUGGGAUAAAAGCUUACCAAGCCGACGAUCUGUAGCUGGUCUGAGAGGAUGAUCAGCCACACUGGGACUGAGACACGGCCCAGACUCCUACGGGAGGCAGCAGUGGGGAAUUUUGGACAAUGGGGGCAACCCUGAUCCAGCCAUGCCGCGUGCAGGAUGAAGGCCUUCGGGUUGUAAACUGCUUUUGUACGGAACGAAAAGACUCUGGUUAAUACCUGGGGUCCAUGACGGUACCGUAAGAAUAAGCACCGGCUAACUACGUGCCAGCAGCCGCGGUAA